Molecule: ribosomal RNA, 1144 nt
Filed under: Candidatus Poribacteria bacterium
Lineage: Bacteria; Candidatus Poribacteria
Description: partial 23S ribosomal RNA
Rfam family: Bacterial large subunit ribosomal RNA
Source: RNAcentral
AAUGGCCCAUGCGACUGUUUACUAAAAACACAGGUCUCUGCUAAAUCGCAAGAUGAUGUAUAGGGACUGACGCCUGCCCGGUGCCAAAAAGUUAAGGUGAGGAGUGAAAGGCAACUGGAAGCUCCGAACUGAAGCUCUGGUAAACGGCGGCCGUAACUAUAACGGUCCUAAGGUAGCGAAAUUCCUUGUCGGGUAAGUUCCGACCUGCACGAAUGGCGUAACGACAUGGGCGCUGUCUCGGCGAGAGACUCGGUGAAAUUGUAAUACCGGUGAAGAUGCCGGUUACCCAUACCAAGACGGAAAGACCCCGUGAACCUUUACUAUAGUUUGAUAUUGGGUUUUAAUGUUGCAUGUGUAGGAUAGGUGGGAGACUUUGAAACUGGGGCGCCAGCUUCAGUGGAGUCGCCCUUGAAAUACCACUCUUGUUGCAUUGGAAUUCUAACUCCGGCACGUGAAUCCGUGCCGAGGACAGUGUCAGAUGGGUAGUUUGACUGGGACGGUCGCCUCCUAAAAUGUAACGGAGGCACCCUAAGGUUCCCUCAGUGCGAUUGGAAACCGCGCGUAGAGUGUAAAGGCAGAAGGGAGCUUAACUGCGAGACGGACGCGUCGAGCAGAUGCGAAAGCAGGGCUUAGUGAUCUUACGGUGCUGUGUGGAAAGGCCGUAACUCAUUGGAUAAAAGGUACUCCGGGGAUAACAGGCUAGUCGCCCCCGAUAGCUCACAUAAACGGGGCGGUUCGGCACCUCGAUGUCGGCUCGUCACAUCCUGGGGCAGAAGCAUGUCCCAAGGGUUCGGCUGUCCGCCGAUUAAAGUGGCACGCGAGCUGGGUUUAGAACGUCGUAAGACAGUUCGGUCCCUAUCUGGUAUGGGCGUAGGAUAUUUGAGAGAUGCUGCCCCUAGUAUGAGAAGACCGGGGUGGAUGCACCUCUAGUGCACCAGUUGUCACGCCAGUGGCACCGCUGGGUAGCUAUGUGCAGAAUGGAGAAACGCUGAAUGCAUAUAAGCGUGAAACCUGCCUCAAGAUAAGAUAUCCCACAACGUUAAGUUGGUAAGGCUCCUUCGAGAUAAGAAGGUUGAUAGGCCAGAUGUGUACGCCGUGCGAGCGGUUCAGCUAACUGGUACUAAUAAGCCGAGGGCUUGAUAAU